GGGGCUAUGGUUCAGUGGUAGAGCAUCUGCUUUGCAUGUGGAUGGUCGUGGGUUCAAUCCCUGGCAUCUCCCA
Molecule: transfer RNA, 73 nt
Filed under: Sphaerodactylus townsendi
Lineage: Eukaryota; Metazoa; Chordata; Lepidosauria; Squamata; Sphaerodactylidae
Description: tRNA-Ala
Rfam family: tRNA
About the family: Transfer RNA (tRNA) molecules are approximately 80 nucleotides in length.
Source: RNAcentral